This 465-nucleotide ribosomal RNA is filed under the name Vreelandella stevensii. RNAcentral describes it as "partial 16S ribosomal RNA". It matches the Rfam family "Bacterial small subunit ribosomal RNA", at positions 338 to 795 of the family's 1533-position model. The record is from RNAcentral. Lineage: Bacteria; Pseudomonadati; Pseudomonadota; Gammaproteobacteria; Oceanospirillales; Halomonadaceae.
CCUACGGAAGGCUGCAGUGGGGAAUAUUGGACAAUGGGCGAAAGCCUGAUCCAGCCAUGCCGCGUGUGUGAAGAAGGCCUUCGGGUUGUAAAGCACUUUCAGUGGGGAAGAAAGCCUUGGGGCUAAUACCCUCGAGGAAGGACAUCACCCACAGAAGAAGCACCGGCUAACUCCGUGCCAGCAGCCGCGGUAAUACGGAGGGUGCGAGCGUUAAUCGGAAUUACUGGGCGUAAAGCGCGCGUAGGCGGUCUGAUAAGCCGGUUGUGAAAGCCCCGGGCUCAACCUGGGAACGGCAUCCGGAACUGUCAGGCUAGAGUGCAGGAGAGGAAGGUAGAAUUCCCGGUGUAGCGGUGAAAUGCGUAGAGAUCGGGAGGAAUACCAGUGGCGAAGGCGGCCUUCUGGACUGACACUGAAGCUGAGGUGCGAAAGCGUGGGUAGCAAACAGGAUUAGAUACCCCGGUAGUC